RNAcentral lists this ribosomal RNA (72 nucleotides) under Acinetobacter baumannii ZWS1122. RNAcentral describes it as "partial 16S ribosomal RNA". The record is from RNAcentral. Lineage: Bacteria; Pseudomonadati; Pseudomonadota; Gammaproteobacteria; Moraxellales; Moraxellaceae.
AACUGAAGAGUUUGAUCAUGGCUCAGAUUGAACGCUGGCGGCAGGCUUAACACAUGCAAGUCGAGCGGGGGA